CUCUCGGCAACGGAUAUCUCGGCUCUCGCAUCGAUGAAGAACGUAGCGAAAUGCGAUACCUGGUGUGAAUUGCAGAAUCCCGCGAACCAUCGAGUCUUUGAACGCAAGUUGCGCCCGAGGCCUUCUGGCUGAGGGCACGCCUGCCUGGGCGUCACGCCAAACA
RNAcentral lists this ribosomal RNA (163 nucleotides) under Festuca eskia. RNAcentral's name for it is "5.8S ribosomal RNA". It matches the Rfam family "5.8S ribosomal RNA". Rfam says of the family: 5.8S ribosomal RNA (5.8S rRNA) is a component of the large subunit of the eukaryotic ribosome. It is transcribed by RNA polymerase I as part of the 45S precursor that also contains 18S and 28S rRNA. Lineage: Eukaryota; Viridiplantae; Streptophyta; Magnoliopsida; Poales; Poaceae. The record is from RNAcentral.